This 468-nucleotide ribosomal RNA is filed under the name uncultured bacterium. RNAcentral describes it as "partial 16S ribosomal RNA". It matches the Rfam family "Bacterial small subunit ribosomal RNA", at positions 28 to 507 of the family's 1533-position model. The record is from RNAcentral.
GAUGAACGCUGGCGGCGUGCUUAACACAUGCAAGUCGAACGGAAAGGCCCUGCUCUUGUGCGGUGCUCGAGUGCCGAAGGCGUGAGUAACACGUGAGUAACCUGCCCUUGUCUUUGGGAUAACUUCACGAAACUGGGGCUAAUACCGGAUAGGAGCUCCUGCUGCAUGGUGGGGGUUGGAAAGUUUCGGCGGUUGGGGAUGGACUCGCGGCUUAUCAGCUUGUUGGUGGGGUAGUGGAUUACCAAGGCUUUGACGGGUAGGCGGCCUGGGAGGGGGACCGGGCACAUGGGGACUGAGAGACGGCGCAGACUCCUACGGGAGGCAGCAGGGGGGAAUAUGGCACAACGGGCGGAAGCCUGAGGCAGCGACGCCGCGUUCGUGAUGACGGCCUUCGGGUUGUAAACCGCUUUCGCCUGUGACGAAGCGGGAGUGACGGUAAUGGGUAAAGAAGCACCGGCUAACUACGUG